AUGUUCAACGUCAAUUAUGGGGUGAUCACUCUUCUACCUAAGGUUUCUGGGGCUGAUAAAAUUCAACAGUUUAGACCUAUAUGCCUCCUUAGGUGCCCAUAUAAACUUAUCACCAAAGCCAUGGAUCGUAGGGUUGAGAAAUAUGCUGACAAGCUAAUCAGCCCCACCCAGAAUGGUUUUGUGAAGGGGAGGAAUAUCAUUGAUGGGGUUCUGUCUCUCCAUGCAAUCCUUAAUUACACCCAUGUUAAAAAAAGGGUGGGAAUUGUGUUGAAGCUCGACUUUGAAAAAUCCUAUGACAAAGUCAACUGGGACUUCCUGUUGGAAUGUCAUAGAUUACGAGGCUUUAAUGAAACCUGGUGCGGUUGGGUUAAACAAAUCCUGCACAAUGGAACGAUUAGUAUUAAGCUCAACAACUGUGUCGGGCCAUACUUCCAUAGUGCUAAAGGGGUGCGCCAGGGGGACCCCCACUCCCCUUUCCUUUUUAAUCUUGUUGUGGAGUGUUUGUCUAAAAUGACUACAAAUGCUCAGAGAAAUACGUUGAUCGUUGGCCUAGCCCCGGACUUGAUCCCCGAUGGGGUUGUAGUGUUAUAG
Molecule: ribosomal RNA, 591 nt
Filed under: Triticum aestivum (bread wheat)
Lineage: Eukaryota; Viridiplantae; Streptophyta; Magnoliopsida; Poales; Poaceae
Description: partial small subunit ribosomal RNA
Source: RNAcentral